This 858-nucleotide ribosomal RNA is filed under the name Collariella robusta. RNAcentral's name for it is "LSU rRNA". It matches the Rfam family "Eukaryotic large subunit ribosomal RNA", at positions 74 to 965 of the family's 3401-position model. The record is from RNAcentral. Lineage: Eukaryota; Fungi; Ascomycota; Sordariomycetes; Sordariales; Chaetomiaceae.
AUUGCCCUAGUAACGGCGAGUGAAGCGGCAACAGCUCAAAUUUGAAAUCUGGCUUCGGCCCGAGUUGUAAUUUGUAGAGGAAGCUUUAGGCGCGGCACCUUCUGAGUCCCCUGGAACGGGGCGCCAAAGAGGGUGAGAGCCCCGUAUAGUUGGAUGCCUAGCCUGUGUAAAGCUCCUUCGACGAGUCGAGUAGUUUGGGAAUGCUGCUCAAAAUGGGAGGUAAAUUUCUUCUAAAGCUAAAUACCGGCCAGAGACCGAUAGCGCACAAGUAGAGUGAUCGAAAGAUGAAAAGCACUUUGAAAAGAGGGUUAAAUAGCACGUGAAAUUGUUGAAAGGGAAGCGCUUGUGACCAGACUUGCGCCGGGCGGAUCAUCCGGUGUUCUCACCGGUGCACUCCGCCCGGCUCAGGCCAGCAUCGGUUCUCGUGGGGGGAUAAAGGCCCUGGGAACGUAGCUCCUCCGGGAGUGUUAUAGCCCAGGGUGUAAUGCCCUCGCGGGGACCGAGGUUCGCGCAUCUGCAAGGAUGCUGGCGUAAUGGUCAUCAGCGACCCGUCUUGAAACACGGACCAAGGAGUCAAGGUUUUGCGCGAGUGUUUGGGUGUAAAACCCGCACGCGUAAUGAAAGUGAACGUAGGUGAGAGCUUCGGCGCAUCAUCGACCGAUCCUGAUGUAUUCGGAUGGAUUUGAGUAAGAGCGUUAAGCCUUGGACCCGAAAGAUGGUGAACUAUGCUUGGAUAGGGUGAAGCCAGAGGAAACUCUGGUGGAGGCUCGCAGCGGUUCUGACGUGCAAAUCGAUCGUCAAAUCUGAGCAUGGGGGCGAAAGACUAAUCGAACCAUCUAGUAGCUGGUUACCGCCGAA